AUGGCAUGCACGCCGAGGGUCGGAUCUCGCCGAGAACCACACUUGAAGAGCCACCAUUACCGAGCCCGCGUGAAGAAGAAUACCGCCCGGUUGGAUUGUGGAUGCUCUGGCGUCGGGCUCGCGAUAUCCUGGCUAGGUGCUCCAUGGGGUCCUCAGGGAGGUACCCAUGACCUUCUCGGGCAGGAUGAACCUCCGAGGCAAUUGGAAUUUCUCACCGUGCCUGUGACACAACCGCGAUCCGCGCCGCUACAUGGGCAAUAUGCUGGCGCCCCAAUCCGAGGUGAGGUCUUUACCCUCGUAUUCGCUAGAACCUGAGCAUCGUUUUGCACUCUUCGCUUUUGUGUUCGAGCGCUUGGUGGCUGUACCGUCCUACGCCAGCCAUGGCCUCCGCCGUGCGGGCGCCGCCGUCGCUGUCUGUGUGAGGUGGUGGGCAAUAGAGUGGUAGGGGAGAGAAAAGUUCAACCGUUAGAUCUUCUAAUGGACGCACUUGAUUAGACCAAGGUUACGUUUCGCCUGAGCUCGUCCAUCGUCGUAGAUCUGUCAACGGACGCACAAGAAAAAACCUAGUGUUUUAAAUCCUGGCCGUUUAUUCAGAAUCGGACGGUUAGGGUCGUGGGGGGAAAUACCGGUUGGGUGGACGAUCUUCAGCCCUUGGAUCGUGAUCCUGCGGCUCGGGAUAGAAUUGCUCGUAAUUAAAUGAGCAGCACCAUUGAUCUCUGAUCUUGUGGACUGGAACGCAUACCGGUUCAGAUCUAAUCCAUGCCACUAGUUUCUGAUCGGACGAUCCAGAUGUAGCCAUACCCCUUCAGCCGAGCAGAUUUACAAAAGAUACCCUCUGUUUUUUCUUUAUUCAACCCGCCAUCCUAGUUAGGUCGAGGAGAAGUUAAAGUAAGCCCCUACAUUUAGCAGUCUAGCCCCUGCGCUUCUCAGGAUUUCAAGCCAAAGUACAGUCAGCCGAGAAUUCAAUUAAAAUAAAUGCAAAAAUCAUUUCUAGUGAAAAAAUGUCCCAAUCUUAGGAAAUUCAUAACUUUACGAUUUUAACUCCAUUUUGAUCCAUUCCAGUUGCAUUAAAUUCAUAUUAAUAUUGUUUAUCAUUUGGUAGCUUUGUUUUGUUAUGAAACAUAUGUUAAAAAUUAUGCAUUUAAUUUGUUUUAUAUCUAACACCCCAAAUCUUUAGAAAAUCAUAACUAUUUAAUUGUAACUUCGAAUUUAGUGAUUCUCAAACCUACGAUCUCGUUACGACGAGUAGAACAUUAUUUUGUAGUUUGUGCUUAUAUUUGGUGUGAUGCUAAUUUUUCCUAUAUCAUGUUUGUUUGUAUUGCUACGAUUAGCAGCGAGGUUACGAGUCACUUGAAGACCAAGUUGGUACCUGGGAAUCUCGAGUCUAAGGCAAGUUGUGCCCUUGAUCACUCUUCUUUACCUAAUAAUGUUCCUGUUAAUCAUUGUGACAUGCUCAGGUUAAUUUGAUGGGACCUAAUAGGUUUCCCAAGCAUUGUUUAUCCCCCACCUUGCAAACAGAUGAACUAUUGGGUAGAUUUGCUAUUGCUCUACUUGGUUUUGGGAAACUAAUGUUUUAUUAUGAUCAUAUUUCAAUUAUGUUAUUGUUUUAAUUAUUGCUCAUGAUAAGAUUAUCAUGUUAAUUGGAACAUAGAGAACCACCCGGGAAAACAGUGCUACCACAAGGGUGGAAUGGGACGCCCUUGGCCAAGUAAUUAGAAAAGCUAGGGAGAGGUUACCUUACCCGGAGGGGUAAGCGGGGAGGCGUAACUGCUAGAGUAUAGGGAGCUCCUCGGGCCGAACUGUUUGUAAAGCUUUUCGGACGAGGGAUUCCUAUGCUUCCUUCGUCCUAAAUCCGUAGCGGGUUUUCUCGAACUAGUGGAACUUUGUAAAGGCCUCAUAGUGCUACCCUACCUCGCUUCCUCGGUAGAGGUGUAUGGGGUCCGAUCAACCCCGUGGCAAAUGGGUAACACGACUUGUGUGUAAAGAUGUGCAACCUCUGCAGAGUGUAAAACUGGUAUAUCAGCCGUGCUCACAGUCAUGAGCGGCUCGGACACUCACAUGAUUAAUUUAUGGAACUAAACUUAAUAUGUCAUAUGCAUUGCAUCGCGGGUAUUGUUAUUAAUUGUGAUCUCUUAUUUAAUUGGGUUGAUAUCUACUUAUACUUAGUAACUGCUAAUAAAACUUUGACCAACUCUAAAAGCAAUGCUCAGCUUUAACCAUCUCCUUUUGGUAAGCCUUACACUUCACUUGAGCUCCUAGCUUUGGUGAGUUCAUACACAUUAUUCCCCACAACUCGUUGAGCGAUGAACGUAUGUGAGCUCACCAGUGCUGUACUCGCAUCCCCCCAGGUCAAGAACAUGUAUCGUCAAGAUGAGAAGCAUGAAAGAUGUCGUGAUGAUGUUUGUGAGUGGUCUAGGUUGUCGUCUCCCUGUCAACUUUGGAUUACUAGAUUGUUGUCUUCCUAUGAUGUAAUUAUUU
RNAcentral lists this long non-coding RNA (2478 nucleotides) under Zea mays. RNAcentral describes it as "long non-coding RNA (ZMAY_LNC002341)". The record is from RNAcentral. Lineage: Eukaryota; Viridiplantae; Streptophyta; Magnoliopsida; Poales; Poaceae.